CAAAAGAAGAAGCAGAGCAGCCAAAUGGCCGCCGCUGACAAGGAAGAAAAACGAUGGAACAGGCAACAAGGCGAAAUAAUGAAACACACAACACACACACACACUCUCACGCACAUACACAAUCGGAAAAAUCAAAUGUUUAACCGAAAAAAAAACGCAAAUGAAUUAUUCAGUCGCCUCCUUAAUUGAUUUUUACCAUUUCGGGCAAAACGCUAUGUAAUUUUGCAAACUAUUUUUAUGCACAAAAUAUAUGUGAGAAGCGGUCUGGAAAUACACACACACAGAAGCAGGCGGCCGCCGAAAAGGAAACCCGAUGAUGACAAUGUAAAACGAGGCAGAAGGAACAGGCACACGGGCAAAAAUUAAUACGAAAAACGGUCUCGUCGGGGAAAAAACUUUUUGUUGUUUGGAGGAGCACUUACACAUGCACUAAAAAAAGCAUUCGCGAUGCGCUUGGAUUUCCCCUUAACGGAUGAUGAAGAGUCGGCUAGAUUCUUCAACGUCGCCGCCGCCGUCGCAGAACGAUAAUAAAAGCGAAAAUGCAAAGACACGGCCAAUACAAA
Drosophila kikkawai is the source of this 563-nucleotide long non-coding RNA. RefSeq lists it as uncharacterized. Lineage: Eukaryota; Metazoa; Arthropoda; Insecta; Diptera; Drosophilidae. The record is from RefSeq and is a predicted model, not a curated record.